CGAAGUUAGAGAGAGCUUGCUUUUUCUAACUUAGUGGCGAACGGGUGAGUAACGCGUGAGGAACCUGCCUCAAAGAGGGGGACAACAGUUGGAAACGACUGCUAAUACCGCAUAAGCCCACAGAGCCGCAUGGCUCAGGGGGAAAAGGAGCAAUCCGCUUUGAGAUGGCCUCGCGUCCGAUUAGCUAGUUGGUGAGGUAACGGCCCACCAAGGCGACGAUCGGUAGCCGGACUGAGAGGUUGAACGGCCACAUUGGGACUGAGACACGGCCCAGACUCCUACGGGAGGCAGCAGUGGGGAAUAUUGCACAAUGGGGGGAACCCUGAUGCAGCGACGCCGCGUGGAGGAAGAAGGUCUUCGGAUUGUAAACUCCUGUUGUUGGGGACGAUAAUGACGGUACCCAACAAGGAAGUGACGGCUAACUACGUGCCAGCAGCCGCGGUAAAACGUAGGUCACAAGCGUUGUCCGG
This 470-nucleotide ribosomal RNA is filed under the name uncultured bacterium. RNAcentral's name for it is "bacterial SSU rRNA". It matches the Rfam family "Bacterial small subunit ribosomal RNA", at positions 63 to 548 of the family's 1533-position model. The record is from RNAcentral.